Non-coding RNA from Aegilops tauschii subsp. strangulata, 1234 nucleotides. The record is from RefSeq and is a predicted model, not a curated record. NCBI's taxonomy places the organism in Eukaryota, Viridiplantae, Streptophyta, Magnoliopsida, Poales, Poaceae.
CAUACCAUUUUUGAGGCUACGAUUCCUAUAACUUGCCUUGUCAAUUUGAUAAAAUUACAUGUGUAAUGGAGGUUGUAACUUAUUACGGUUUACAUUGUCAGAAUGAUAUCUGUGUCAUCUCUGAACAUAUGUAUAUAUUUGGUGUGCCGGAUUUUCUGAUGUAGAUGCUAUAUAAGAGGAAGCUAUUCGACAAUCCUGCUCAAGUUGGUACGGAUCAGAUCGAUUUUAUUCAGUAAAUAUUUAUGCUUGAUAGAUACAAGCCUCCCUCUUCUGUCCUUCUUUUCUCCAUCCUCUACAGAUCGCCAGCACAUGUGAAUCGUUCUCGUCAAGAGCAUGCUUGUGACAUCAUUACUAUAUGUGAUGCAGGGCAAAAGGAUGCUGUCAGAAUGUAAAAGCACAUUUAACCAUUUCCUGUUUUUUUCCUUGCCUGUUUUCGCCGUCGUAUACACUGCAUCUCCCAUUGUAACGGACAGCCAAAUUUGUAUUCUUGAAAGUUUUAAUCAUUUCUAUUGCAGUGUUCAAGUGCAAUCUCUAGCCAAGUUCUCUUUGUUGUUGUGUUGAAUUUUGAGGAAAGGCGGCCAAGCAGCUCGUGGCAUCUGUGUCAUGCCUGCUCUGCCGCUGCCUUGACCCGCCGACGACGUCGCCGGUUGAGCCGCAAGGGUGCAAGAUCAUCGUGGGGCCCAUUGCAUGGGCUCCGAGUAUGCUUGAUUGCCAUGUCGGAGGCGAAGGUGCUAGAGCUUGGUGGCGUGUUUGCAUUUCUGGAUGCAUGAAUAAUUGUCAAGGAGGCCGAAGCCAGCGCUAUUACAGUUGGACUGAAGGAAUUGUAUAACGUAUUCUGAGGCUCCUUGGUGGUGGAGAUCGACUACGCAGUGGGGAAAUGAGCUAGGGGCUGAUUCUAACUGUCAAGAGGGACAAACAAUGGGCUGGCUCAUGAACUAGCCAAUGAUUCUAAAGCUCAUGGAGACCUUGUGGUUGCGUAUGGUGUCCCGGACCAACUCCAUGAUCAGCUCUGGAAGGAAAACAAUGCAGCCUUGACGUCGGCCUAAGUCUUGAUGUAAUCCUCAAAAAAGAUACUGCUUGCAGACAUGUUAUACAUAAACAUGCAUGUUGUAGGUCUAUUAAUUUUAAUUUUGAAUACUGAGAUCUAUUCAGAUGCUUUCCUUACUCUUAUGGCUAAAAAAAUCCAGCAGACAGUGACUGAAAUUUGUUAGUUUCACUCAACGUGCUGCUGCUU